This 239-nucleotide ribosomal RNA is filed under the name uncultured bacterium. Its description in RNAcentral is "partial 16S ribosomal RNA". It matches the Rfam family "Bacterial small subunit ribosomal RNA", at positions 524 to 762 of the family's 1533-position model. The record is from RNAcentral.
GACGAACCGUGCGAACGUUGUUCGGAAUCACUGGGCUUAAAGGGCGCGUAGGCGGGUCGCCAAGUUUGGGGUGAAAUCCUCCCGCUCAACGGGAGAACGGCCUUGAAUACUGGCGAUCUCGAGGGGGAUAGGGGCAUGCGGAACUACGGGUGGAGCGGUGAAAUGCGUUGAUAUCCGUAGGAACUCCGGUGGCGAAGGCGGCGUGCUGGAUCCCUUCUGACGCUGAGGCGCGAAAGCCA